Molecule: unclassified non-coding RNA, 305 nt
Filed under: plant metagenome
Description: partial contains 5.8S ribosomal RNA, internal transcribed spacer 2, and large subunit ribosomal RNA
Rfam family: 5.8S ribosomal RNA (bases 1-105)
Source: RNAcentral
GAAAUGCGAUAAGUAAUGUGAAUUGCAGAAUUCAGUGAAUCAUCGAAUCUUUGAACGCACAUUGCGCCCGCCAGUAUUCUGGCGGGCAUGCCUGUCCGAGCGUCAUUUCAACCAUCAAGCCCCCGGGCUUGUGUUGGGGACCUGCGGCUGCCCGCAGGCCCUGAAAACCAGUGGCGGGCUCGCUGUCACACCGAGCGUAGUAGCAAUCACCUCGCUCAGGGCGUGCUGCGGGUUCCGGCCGUUAAACAGCCUUACAAAACCCAAGGUUGACCUCGGAUCAGGUAGGAAGACCCGCUGAACUUAAG